UGCCCGCUGGUCAAACUGGUUUAAGACGUCGCCCUCUCAAGGCGGAGUUAUGGGUUCGAGACCCAUGCGGGUGAUCA
Molecule: transfer RNA, 77 nt
Filed under: Apilactobacillus micheneri
Lineage: Bacteria; Bacillati; Bacillota; Bacilli; Lactobacillales; Lactobacillaceae
Also listed under: 1 other name
Description: Lactobacillus micheneri tRNA-Glu
Rfam family: tRNA
About the family: Transfer RNA (tRNA) molecules are approximately 80 nucleotides in length. Their secondary structure includes four short double-helical elements and three loops (D, anti-codon, and T loops). Further hydrogen bonds mediate the characteristic L-shaped molecular structure. tRNAs have two regions of fundamental functional importance: the anti-codon, which is responsible for specific mRNA codon recognition, and the 3' end, to which the tRNAs corresponding amino acid is attached (by aminoacyl-tRNA synthetases). tRNAs cope with the degeneracy of the genetic code in two manners: having more than one tRNA (with a specific anti-codon) for a particular amino acid; and 'wobble' base-pairing, i.e. permitting non-standard base-pairing at the 3rd anti-codon position.
Source: RNAcentral